Molecule: long non-coding RNA, 4189 nt
Filed under: Triticum aestivum (bread wheat)
Lineage: Eukaryota; Viridiplantae; Streptophyta; Magnoliopsida; Poales; Poaceae
Description: long non-coding RNA (TAES_LNC003403)
Source: RNAcentral
UUUUAUAUAAUGAAAAAAAAACUAUCUGCUCAUUGGCCCGUCUUCCUCCUCCGCCUCCCCGUCUUCCUCCUCCGCCUCCUACACUAUUCCUCUUCCGCCGCUCUCCAUGCCCUAGGCCUAGAGGCUCCAUCCAUGAGAUGUGGUCUCAGUAUUAGGUAGACGACGACGGCGGCCGGUGGCGCUCCCAUUCAUGGCCGGCGAGCAGAAGCUGCAACUUCCGUCGCGCCACGAGGUACACUGCUGCCACGCGCCCAACCGACUCUCUUUCCCUCUUUGUUCUCUGCCAUAGGUCGCUGGCCAUCGAUGCUGCAACUCAAUCUCUCCAAUCCCUCCCUCCCAGAUCUUUAGAUCUCCUCUUAUUUCAACUUUUCAAAUCCAUGACCGUAGUGAUGAUCUCAGGUAAGCCAUGUGCGUUUCUAUUUCCCAUUAGAUUCAUGUGCCCCUUUGAUCUAGAAAAACAUGCCAAAUCUGCGUGUUCUUUCGAUCUGGAAAAGAUUGCAUCACAAUAGCAUUAGUAAUUUGUGUUUUUUCUUGCGGGGAUUAGUAAUUUGUGUUUUAGGGAUCUAUCUAGGUUUUUUAUUUUUUUGGUGUAACAUUAGUAUUGUUUCUCACUGUGUAUAUGUAUCAAACUCGCAUUAUUAUUGUUGGAGUUCCAUGUAUACAGAUCUCUUCUCUGUAUUUCAUUGCAAUGUUAUGGUCCGUGCUGCAAUCCAAUGUCUCCUUAAUGCCCUUCCCACCCAACCAUUAGAUCUCUUCUUAUUUCAAGUUUUUAAAUCCAGGACGGUUGGUUCAUCAUAUGAGGAGGUGUAUGCAUGAUGGUUUGGAGAAAGGAGGUUGCCAUUGGUACUUGAGGCCGUCAAGUUGAGGAAUUACGUUGGAUUGGUGGCACUCCAACUCACAAUCCAAACCCAACUCGAGUUCAUCUCCCCUUAUUCCUGUCCCACCCCACCGGUAAAUACCCCUGAAUUAUUAAAUCCUAAUUCUUCCAUCCAUUGAAUUCAUCACUGAACACCUAAUAAGUCGGCUUAAUCCAUCACGUCUCAUCAACAGCAAAAGUUUUUUUUUUUCAUAUCUAUCUUCACCGCUUCUCUGUGUCAGAUUAUACAUUUAGGCGAGCGGAGGGGAACCAACUAGGGUUUGAACUGCAUUGCUUAAAGUGGCACCAUCCAGUGAGUUUCUGUUAAACUACAUCUACAUCAAUUGCCCCACUAGCCAAUUUACAUUUUUUGCAGGAAGCUUUACACAUGUCCUCCCAUGCAACCAUUUGUUAGACAACAAAAUUAGUUGAUGAUUCCUAUGUAAUGAAUUUGGACAUUGUAUGUUAUUUCUUCAGAGUAAACACUAAUUGUUAGAUUAUCUGCAUGUUAGUGUGGUAUGUAUAUAUAUAUAAUAAUUCUCUCUUCCGGGAUUAAAAAAAAGCCAAGUUAACAUUUUAAGUUUUACAAAUUUUCCAGAUUUCUCAAAAUGAUUUCUAAUAUUGUGUAUAAUCUAUCUUUGGCAGUUCCAUAGUAAGAUUUUCAAAUUGUCACCCAUGCAAAAAAUUAAGCUAGAUGUAUGGCGUACUUGAGUUAUAUAGGUUCUGUUUACAGCACAUACAUGUACUGUGUUUGAAAAGGGAGCCAAAUCUAUGAUUUUAUUAUCAAACACACAUGAAAUUUUGCUGCAAAUGUAGCCAUGGAAUCCAUAUUUCCUAGGUUCAUUCCAAUAAAUAUGAUAUUUCUUUUGGAGUUCCAGUGUUUUGAUUUUAGAGAUGCUAACUUAUACAAAAAUAUGCUAAUAUAUAUUACCACCUAAGAUAUCAGAGUGCCCUUUUAGUGAUUUGCAUAUUUAAGGCGGGGAGGUAUAUACAUUGAUAAUGAUCCAAAUAUUGUCAGCUAAAUAUGUUUUUGUGAAAUUGACAGAUUUAUGUGUUCUAUUGUGAGCAGCAGAAUGUUUAGUGUACAUGCGUGACACUAUAUCUACUUCAAAUAGUACUGUAGACUAGGAACUGUAGAAAAAAUAUGUGAGAAAACUUAAUCACUACCAUACUAUUUGUAAGUAGGUUGCAAAUAGGACAUAUAAUCCUUAUACGAUCUUAACUACCUCCAAUUUCAGUAUGGUCGCGUCAUUGGUCACAUUGUAACUGUACCUUCUACUACAGGUUUGACUUGAAUUUUGGCUUCUGUACGUAUGGUGUUGGUUCGCCUCUCCAUAGGUUUCUACCUCCCGGAAUUCAUCUUCCUGUUGCCACAUAAUUACAUCAAUUGUUAUUGGAAAAUCAAUGUAUAGAUCCAUUGUUUCCCUCUAUAGUGCACAUGCUCUUAUAUUUGUUUUUGGACUGAUUCUUCCAUCGAUUUCUUGCUAUGUUUGGAUAACUAGAGUAUCUAAUUUGAAAUUAUCCAGUCUUCUGUAUGUUCACUUGCAUAGAUGGCUUAAUCUAGAACCUAAACUGAAGACUCAAUAUAGCACAUAUACUUGGCCAGUUAUCCUAAGAAUAUUAAUCCACCUGGACUUUUAACUUGACUUCCAAAGAAGUUCUUAACUAUCAAGCAUUUUUGAGUUUUUAGUAAACUGAAAUAAUGUUGCACUCUGACAAUACUAUUCUGAUUUUGUAAGUUAAUAGAAAUCCUUCAAUUUCAUACCACUUUUACAUUUGGAUGAUUGCGACAUUAUAUCUUCUCUGAAUUCCGCUUGCAUGUUUCCAGUUGAAACAGUAACUGAGUUUGAUAAGUAACCACUAUAUUAUUUUCUAUGUGUAAUUGGCAUGUACACAUGUUGUCGCUCUGCUUGAGUCAUCCAUCUCCACAUUACGAGCCUGAGACUUCCAUCACAACAAUCUAUAUGUAUCCAGGUAGUGUCCAAUAUGUACACACAAGCUCUUCUCACAGUCCGACUAAGUUGAUUGUAACUGAGUGUGUGUGUGUGGCCAUGAGGCAGACUUUAUCUUGGUCUGAGUAUCAGUUCCCUUCAACGGCACAAUUUUGGAUGCUAUUUUCUUCUAGAUGUAUAGGUUUCUGCGGGUCCCAUUGGCUGCUACAUUUUAGUGAGACGAUAGCUCAAUGUCAUGCUCACCAGUUCUGUAAAAAUGAAAAAUCGAGUUGACUGUAUUUUGUACCUGUUUUAGUAAUUACAUGCUGUGAUUAUUUUCUUUCUAGAUAUGGAAAUACUCUAAGGAUUAAGAUUUUUGAGACGUUAAGGUAUCUGAUGAUUAAUUAGCCUUUGUAAGAUUUAUGCACUCAGGUCAUACAACCUAGAUAAUUCUCCUUGGAUCUCCAUAAUUUCUAACUGAAUAUAGUUGUAUACUGACAGUAAAUCCCGUUUUAGUAAUUAGUUGGAUAUAAUUCUUUGACAUGUUUUUAUUAAAAUGUCUGCUUAAAUCAGCGUUAGAUACUCCCAUAAUCGAUUACUUUUUGGAUAGAAUUAUUACUAUAAGAAGUAUAUUGGUUCUCCGGUGUUUUCAGUUCGUACAAUAAACAAAUUAUAUUGUUUUCCAUUAAUCAUUUCUCAUGUAGUUUUCCUCUGCAGUAUGUAUCUUUUGCUUCAUAAUUCAUCUGUUCACAAGAUUGAUGCCUAGAAAUUUCAGCCUUCCGUGCUAAAUGCCAUUCUCUUUUGACUUGAUAAAUACCAGGUAACAUGGAGUCUGCUCAUUUGUAACUGCAUAGGGAUAGGAACAGACUCCAUGUAAUUACAAAUGAGAACAUGGAUUCAGCUUAAGUUUGAGAAAGUGGCGGACAAAAGAGAACUGGACUAUUGUUGCUGAGCGAUAGCUCUGGCCGCAUGAUCAUCUAUGUAUAUAGUUUUUAACAAUAAAUGUAUCCUGAUUGGUAUAGCACAAUUGGAAAUCUUACUUUCUUCUGAUCUCUUAAUUUCAAGAUGAACUGGAGAGGGGAAUUUGUACUAAGUUUGGAAUCUGGCACAGUAAGUGUGUAUUUGCGGUAUUGAUGUAUAGUUAUUAAGAAAGUUACAUUUUUCCAGCUAUUGUGCUACUGAGAAGGAAGCAUGGCUGAGAAUUGCUCUGGUGGAGUUGAAUGUCUUUGUGACUGAAUACUAGAGACGCUGACUUGCAGCCACUCUUUACAGUCCUACCACCUAGCUUUUAUCUCUCACCUUCUGUUAUUUUCAUGUUAACACUGCCAUUGGGGCAAAUCUAUAUUGCUUAUUGAUCGAGUCUAGCUAUUGGUAGAAUUCCAUGUUUCCUACACUAUAUUAU